UCCUGAGGUUUUCUUGGUAGCGCCUAUAUGUGCUGUGUUUUCUCCUGUUUGGAUCCUCUCUACCGGUGUCUUGUGUGCGCCCGAUCUUUGUUUGUCCUCCCUCUUCUGUUUCUCAUUUCUUAUGCUGUUGAGGAUUGUGGUCGUCCUGUAACGUGUUUGUUUUUUGCCUGUUUUUCUGGUGAUGGUUUUCACUGGUCUGAGUUUGCUCAGUUGGUGGGGGACUGGGAUAUAUUCCUGGCUCAGGGGUCCUUUUACAUUCCCUGCUUGUGGUACAUUUGGGCUUCUGUUCAGCCCUUCUUUUACUUUCGUUUUCACUGAUCUUAUGAAUCCUGUCUGGUAUCCGUGCUACCUGCCUAUCUGAU
This 362-nucleotide long non-coding RNA is filed under the name Androctonus crassicauda. The record is from RNAcentral. Lineage: Eukaryota; Metazoa; Arthropoda; Arachnida; Scorpiones; Buthidae.